AGCUUGGUGCAACAGUAUGUAAAUCCUCUUGUUUUCUGAUGAGCUGUUUUCCUGAGGUGGCCGCAUGGUUAAGGAGUACUUCAAUACACAGCAAAUAAAGGAUUGAUGAUCUGAAAAAAGUCAUCUCCCAGGUACGUUUGAAAUCAACGAAGCAACUCCGUGUAACUCUUCUAGUAAGUACUAGAAGUAAAGAACUGAAGAUAGAGAGAAAUAAAUGACACCCAUUAAAUGAAACAAGCUCCAGCUGACAUUUCAGGGCAUAAAGACUUUCUACUUUGAAAAUAACUUCAGAAGGAAGGAGGAAGAGAAGAGGUAUGGAGGAAGAGGAAGGAAAGGUAUGACUGACCUGCGGUUCAACAUUAAUUUGUGCUGCCAUUUCAGGAACACUGGAAUUUUCCCCAGUGUUUGGAAUCACUUCAUAUUUUUGUACUAGAACUGAACCACAGUGAUAAACAUGGUUAGCUCCGGGCGUUUGGUUUGUCAUCAGCUGGGAGCAGAAGGAAAACCUCGCUUAUUCUCUUGGAAAGCUGCUGUUCCUCCAGUUCCAAAAGACAAAUAAUUUACUCAGGUCUUUUUUAAAGGAAAGGUUAUAAUUGGAUGAUUUUUCUUAUAGAAUGCUUUCCAUAUUGUCCUAAAUCUUCUUUGUUAUUGUUUUGGACAUUGGUUUAUCAUGAUGUGCACCACUAAAGUUACCAAAAAAACUGCUCUAUUUAUUUUAUUAUACACCCGUUUGUUACCUGUCCUCCAUAUUAUUGUAAUCCAAUAAGAAAAAAGAAAACAGUCUUAUUUAGUAGAAACAGUGCUGUAAGUUGGGAAAAGUAGUGCUACAGUGCCACUACUCUAAAAAAGGCCAUUAUUUAGCACACUCUGCUCUUACAGUAAUCUUAAGCUCUAUCCUGUUGGAACACUCAGUAGACUUGGAGAAUAGCCAGGAAUAUAUGCUGUAUGUAGAUUAAUACACGAUCUUCUAGGACAAUGGGAAACAGCCAAUGAUGUUCCUAUUACAAUACAAAGUGGAAAACUCAAGUUUGAAGUUCUGUCUGAUGGAAAUGAGUUCAGUCUGACAAAACUGAUUUGUCUAAGGUAAAAGUCCAGCAUUAUACUUUUAAUGUUUUGUAUAUUACUGUAGGUUUAUAUUCUUAAUUAUGUAAUUAACAUUGCUUAUCACUGUAUAACAAUUUGUGUCAGUUCUCCUCCUGUGACAAAGCUUAAAUUAUACCACUUAUUUAAAACAGA
Non-coding RNA from Coturnix japonica (Japanese quail), 1236 nucleotides. Lineage: Eukaryota; Metazoa; Chordata; Aves; Galliformes; Phasianidae. The record is from RefSeq and is a predicted model, not a curated record.